UGCCAGCAGCCGCGGUAAUACGGAGGGUGCGAGCGUUAAUCGGAAUUACUGGGCGUAAAGGGCGCGUAGGCGGUUCGAUAAGUCAGAUGUGAAAGCCCAGGGCUUAACCUUGGAAUUGCAUUUGAUACUGUCGGGCUUGAGUGUGGUAGAGGAAAGCGGAAUUCCGGGUGUAGCGGUGAAAUGCGUAGAUAUCCGGAGGAACAUCAGUGGCGAAGGCGGCUUUCUGGACCAACACUGACGCUGAGGCGCGAAAGCGUGGGGAGCAAACAGGAUUAGAUA
This 279-nucleotide ribosomal RNA is filed under the name uncultured bacterium. RNAcentral's name for it is "partial 16S ribosomal RNA". It matches the Rfam family "Bacterial small subunit ribosomal RNA", at positions 506 to 784 of the family's 1533-position model. The record is from RNAcentral.